This 349-nucleotide unclassified non-coding RNA is filed under the name Hevea brasiliensis (rubber tree). Lineage: Eukaryota; Viridiplantae; Streptophyta; Magnoliopsida; Malpighiales; Euphorbiaceae. The record is from RNAcentral.
GAGCUGCUGUGAGUUUUAAGAGUUCAUCAGCCUCAGAGAAAUUGAUGAACCACUGACUAAGAGGAUGAUUUUUUGUAUCACCUCUCUUCAAGGCAUGCAGAUCCUCAAUUGGUGCAGGAGGCAACUUAAAUGUUGUAGGAAGCCGUGGAACGACUACUGAAGGAUGGUUCUGAAUACGAGAAAAGAAAUCCUCAGGAGGAUCAGGGAAUACAAUCUCAUUGUAAGUUUCCACAACAAUAGGUUUCUUUGUCGACUGGGGGCCAGGCUCAUUCUCUGCGUAUAACUUCAAAUGAUGAUACAAAUCCAACUUCUUUUCACCAACGUCAUCGUGGAAGAGAAGGGAUAUUGC